RNAcentral lists this ribosomal RNA (253 nucleotides) under uncultured bacterium. RNAcentral's name for it is "partial 16S ribosomal RNA". It matches the Rfam family "Bacterial small subunit ribosomal RNA", at positions 524 to 776 of the family's 1533-position model. The record is from RNAcentral.
GACGAGCCACACAAACGUUAUUCGGAAUUACUGGGCUUAAAGGGUGCGUAGGCGGCGCGGAAAGUUGGGUGUGAAAUCCCUCGGCUUAACCGAGGAAUUGCGCUCAAAACUUCCGUGCUUGAGGGAGAUAGAGGAAUGCGGAACUUAGGGUGGAGCGGUGAAAUGCGUUGAUAUCCUAGGGAACACCGGUGGCGAAAGCGGCAUUCUGGAUCUCAUCUGACGCUGAUGCACGAAAGCUAGGGUAGCGAACGGG